CAGUAAGAGGGCUGGAGGGGAAGCCGGAGGUGGAAAGUUCUAACAAGAAGUUUCUUGCCCCAGCAGCCGUUUCGGCUGGGGAAUUCUCAGUCAAAAUGGCUCCUUUGAGGAAGGAUCUGUAUUCCCCAUUUGCAGUUGUGGAAAUGAAGGUCAAGCAGCUCGGUCAAGGUCGUGGAGCCAACGGGCAGCAGGAAAGUUCUGUGCAUAAAUCCCAUAAAAUCCCAUAAUGUGGAGCUGACACUGAGCUUACCCAGAACAAAAUCUGCUAAUGAUCACUGCUUGCCAGGAGCCUGCAGAGGGGAUCGACACGUCACAACCCCCAUGCCUGCCUUCUGCCGAAACCUUUUCCGAUUAGGGCCCUUUACACGAGUUUAUAAAAACACUUUGUUCAGAUCA
This is a long non-coding RNA of Mustela lutreola (European mink), 396 nucleotides long. RefSeq lists it as uncharacterized. The record is from RefSeq and is a predicted model, not a curated record. The transcript has 3 exons. NCBI's taxonomy places the organism in Eukaryota, Metazoa, Chordata, Mammalia, Carnivora, Mustelidae.